GCUUUUUCAGUUUAUUUUUCAUGAUGACGGGUAAAUUAAUUUGUUGUGUUUUGCAGUUCACGAAUAAAGAAAAUUAUUUUAUAGUUGCGUUUUUUUUUUCUGUAACAAGUUCGAUUUUUGUUUUUCAGUGUGAUUCUUUUCUCUAUCUCUCUCUCUAAAUCAAGUUUUUAAACAAACACAAUGUUGACUGAAUAUCAAAUUUUAUUACAUUUGUAUAUCUUUAUUCUCAACAAACCAUUAUACAAGAGAAGACAAUUAUGUACAAUAUUCAGUUU
Molecule: long non-coding RNA, 275 nt
Filed under: Mytilus galloprovincialis (Mediterranean mussel)
Lineage: Eukaryota; Metazoa; Mollusca; Bivalvia; Mytilida; Mytilidae
Source: RNAcentral